This 367-nucleotide long non-coding RNA is filed under the name Agrilus planipennis (emerald ash borer). Its description in RNAcentral is "uncharacterized LOC112904495". The record is from RNAcentral. Lineage: Eukaryota; Metazoa; Arthropoda; Insecta; Coleoptera; Buprestidae.
UGUUCACAUCAGUAAGCUUUUUAAAAAUGAGAUGAAUUUGGGGCAUACUCUGUUUAAUUAUGCAUAAAAUAAAGAAUUUACAUAAUAUUUAGACUGUUUAUGCUGAUAUUAAAAUAAUACUACUAUUGUUGAAAAGUUAGAUCCUGAAACUACAAGUUUUUGAGAUUUAAAAGUAAAAUAUGAAGGUGUUUCAUACUCCUAAUUGGGAUAAAGAUUCAUCUAGUGAAAAAAUAUGGAAGGAUACUUUCAGUUUAAAAAAGACAUCCACAGGAAAAGUAGAAAAAGCUCAAAAGGAUAAACUGAUUAAAAGGAACUCUAAGAAGAAAUUGAGAGCGAAGUUCAAAAACAAAGAUUCUAGUAUAAAAAA